Vigna unguiculata (cowpea) is the source of this 451-nucleotide long non-coding RNA. RefSeq lists it as uncharacterized. The record is from RefSeq and is a predicted model, not a curated record. Lineage: Eukaryota; Viridiplantae; Streptophyta; Magnoliopsida; Fabales; Fabaceae.
UAAAUGAUGAAAGCACUUAGUCUCUCACUUUUCGAAAGCCUUGUUCUUUCUUCAGUGGUUUUCGUCCUUUGUUGUGGUUAGCCUCACCAUCCGUUGCUGCCACAACAUUUAGCCUCACCAUCCGUUGCUGCCACAACAUUUAGCCUUACCAUCUGUUGUUGCCACAACAUUGUUCUCCUUAGAGAACUUGAAGAGGCACAUUUGAAAGAAGAGCCAACCAUUCUUCAUUUGUUUUCCCUUCUUCGUCGUCAUUCAACUCUUACCCACUGAAAACACUCAAAGUUUUUCCUUUUGGCAAAAAUGUGAACUGGAUUUUGAUGGAGGCAAGUGAUUUUUCAAGUGUUUAUGAUACCUCAAAUAAAGGAAGAAAAUCAUCUACAACUAACAAUAUAAUAUUUUUCUAUAUUUACGUGUGUUAGUUGGGUACAAUGUUUUACUUCUACUUGGUUUA